Molecule: transfer RNA, 90 nt
Filed under: Candidatus Woesebacteria bacterium RIFCSPHIGHO2_12_FULL_46_16
Lineage: Bacteria; Candidatus Woeseibacteriota
Description: tRNA-Ser
Rfam family: tRNA
About the family: Transfer RNA (tRNA) molecules are approximately 80 nucleotides in length. Their secondary structure includes four short double-helical elements and three loops (D, anti-codon, and T loops).
Source: RNAcentral
GGUGAGGUCGCAUAGUGGUCUAGUGCGCGCGCUUGGAGAGCGCGAGUAGCCGCAAGGCUACCGAGGGUUCGAAUCCCUCCCUCACCGCCA